This 200-nucleotide ribosomal RNA is filed under the name uncultured bacterium. RNAcentral describes it as "partial 16S ribosomal RNA". It matches the Rfam family "Bacterial small subunit ribosomal RNA", at positions 30 to 233 of the family's 1533-position model. The record is from RNAcentral.
AUUGAACGCUGGCGGCAGGCCUAACACAUGCAAGUCGAGCGCGAAAGUUCUUCGGAAUGAGUAAAGCGGCGGACGGGUGAGUAAUACAUGGGAAUCUGCCUGGUAGUGGGGGACAACGUUUCGAAAGGAACGCUAAUACCGCAUACGCCCUACGGGGGAAAGGGGGGAGUCUUCGGACCCCUCGCUAUCAGAUGAGCCCA